AGAUCUUAUUUGAAGCAUACCAGUUCAGAAACAAUAGCCUGGUCGCCUUGGAUAACAUUGUCCUAACCAAUGCAAGCUGUACCCCGUUGAAUUCACAGACAGACAUCAAUCAACCACCCACACCACUACCUAUGCUGUUAAGUCUCCCGAUGGAGAAAGUCACGAACCUGCCGAGAUUAAAUCCACCGACUGGGGAAAUCACGGAGCUGCCGAGAUUAAGUCCACCGACUGAAGAAAGUACAGAGCUGCCGAUAAUUAGUCCUCCGACUGGUCUGUCGACCUUUUUCCAGGACAAAAGAGGCCAACCCGAAUCGGGAUUAUUUGGGUGAUUAGAUCUGAGUGGUACAGAAGUGGAGGUGUUAGCCGGAAAUUGAUGACUGAAGUAGUACGCUAUUUAGUUGGGACGAACUUCACGAUGUACAUUUCUUGUCGUUUAUUUGUAACCCUAACGUUGCAAUUCUUUUAAACCCUUUUUUUUUUUUUUUUUUUUUUUACAUAUACUGUGUAUAUUUUUGAUGUUUUCUUACGGAUUCGUAGUUUUACAGGAAUAUGAUAUGUAGCGAUGUUUAAACUGUUUUACCAAUAUUAUGUUGCAUGUGUAUAAAAAUGAAAAAAAAAUGGUUUAGGGAGAAUAAAUAGGUAGGGCGAAAAAUGAAAACGACGAUCAGUGAUCAAUCUCAUAAAUACAAAAAAGGAUAUAAAAUUGAGAGUAGGGCAAACGCGGAUCUCUGGAUACAGUGGGGUCAAAUAAAAACGGAAUAUUUCUUUUAGAAUAGGAGAAAGACCUCACCAAUUGACGUGAAUAAUGAUUAUUGAAAUUUAAACGAAAAUCUACAGUAAUUAACACGAAGUUUCGAUAAUAUAAAUAAGGUGAAACUUAGAGAGUUUAAAAAGGUGAGGUUAAGAUAACUAAACGAAGGUGAGGUUAAGAUAACUAAACGAAGGUGAGAUUAAGAUAACUAAACGAAGGUGAGGUUAAGAUAACUAAACGAAGGUGAGGUUAAGAUAACUAAACGAAGGUGAGGUUAAGAUAACUAAACGAAGGUGAGGUUAAGAUAGUAUGAAUAAUGUGAAGAUUACAAAUUAUAAAGUAUUAUAAAGAAGGUGAUAUUUAGUUAGAGAUUUAAAGAGUAUAAUGGAGGACUGAGGAUCGAAUUGGGAUAGCAUAUACAUGUCUUGUGCAUCGAAAUAUUGAAAAUGUCCGCUGACAUGAUAAACUGUUCUUUUUGUAAGGAUUUUGACUACGUUCACCAAUUAAGAUGGAUUGAUCACGGCGGAUGUGACCGGUCAAAAGGGGAUGCUUACUUGUUGAAUAUUUACUGGGGUCCGUAUUUGUCCUGUUCUCGAUUUUGAAUUCUUCAUAAAGGUAUGAGAUUGACCACUGAGCAUUAUAAGCACCUUUUGUGUAUGUCUCUGUAUAUCAAUGUAUGAUAUAGUUGUAUUUCUUUACGAUGUUAUCAUGAAAAGCAUGUAGCAUAAUCGCCUCUAAAAGUUUAUUGUAUGGGACUUAUUAGAUUCUAGGUGUGCCCAAAUUUUCAUUAUGGUGUUUUACUUUUGAUAACUUUUAAUAAUUUCAUAGGAAGGGAUAAU
Long non-coding RNA from Ostrea edulis (European flat oyster), 1590 nucleotides. RefSeq lists it as uncharacterized. The record is from RefSeq and is a predicted model, not a curated record. The transcript is spliced from 3 exons. NCBI's taxonomy places the organism in Eukaryota, Metazoa, Mollusca, Bivalvia, Ostreida, Ostreidae.